GUAGGUGGCAAGCGUUGUCCGGAAUUAUUGGGCGUAAAGCGCGCGCAGGCGGUCCUUUAAGUCUGAUGUGAAAGCCCACGGCUCAACCGUGGAGGGUCAUUGGAAACUGGGGGACUUGAGUACAGAAGAGGAAAGCGGAAUUCCAAGUGUAGCGGUGAAAUGCGUAGAGAUUUGGAGGAACACCAGUGGCGAAGGCGGCUUUCUGGUCUGUAACUGACGCUGAGGCGCGAAAGCGUGGGGAGCAAACAGGGGGUUAGAUACCCUGGUAGUCCACGCCGUAAACGAUGGGUGCUAAGUGUUAGGGGGUUUCCCGCCCCCCUUAGUGCUGCAGCUAACGCAUUAAGCACUCCGCCUGGGGGAGUACGGCCGCAAGGCUG
Molecule: ribosomal RNA, 377 nt
Filed under: uncultured organism
Description: partial 16S ribosomal RNA
Rfam family: Bacterial small subunit ribosomal RNA
Source: RNAcentral